UACGUAGGGUGCGAGCGUUGCCCGGAUUUAUUGGGCGUAAAGGGCGCGUAGGCGGUCACGCACGUCCGUUGUGAAAUCGCUCGGCUCAACUGGGCGGGGUCAGCGGAUACGGCGUGGCUGGAGCAAGCUAGGGGCAAUGGAAUUCCCGGUGUAGUGGUGGAAUGCGUAGAUAGUCGGGAGGAACACCAGUGGCGAAGGCGGUUGCCUGGAGCUUUGCUGACGCUGAUGCGCGAAAGCGUGGGGAGCGAGUCCGG
Molecule: ribosomal RNA, 254 nt
Filed under: uncultured bacterium
Lineage: Bacteria
Description: partial 16S ribosomal RNA
Rfam family: Bacterial small subunit ribosomal RNA
Source: RNAcentral